Molecule: ribosomal RNA, 666 nt
Filed under: Pycnomerus sp. Zoph11b
Lineage: Eukaryota; Metazoa; Arthropoda; Insecta; Coleoptera; Zopheridae
Description: partial 28S large subunit ribosomal RNA
Rfam family: Eukaryotic large subunit ribosomal RNA
Source: RNAcentral
AAGUCCUUCUUGAACGGGGCCACAGCCCAUAGAGGGUGCCAGGCCCGUAGCGACCACUGCAGAUAGCGGGAGGAUCUCUCCUCAGAGUCGGGUUGCUUGAGAGUGCAGCCCUAAGAGGGUGGUAAACUCCAUCUAAGGCUAAAUAUGACCACGAGACCGAUAGCGAACAAGUACCGUGAGGGAAAGUUGAAAAGAACUUUGAAGAGAGAGUUCAAUAGUACGUGAAACCGUUCAGGGGUAAACCUGAGAAACCCGAAAGUUCGAAAGGGGAGAUUCAGCGUGGCUCGAUGGCGGCGCGGGGAGGUCGAGUGACGGAUGGCGUACGCGUCGUCCGCGCCUUCAUUUCCGUGGUCCGUCGUCGAACGCGUGCACUUCUCCCCUAGUAGGACGUCGCGAUCCGUUGGGCGUCGGUCUAAGGCCCGUGGUGGAGCCCGUCCGGGCGGCUUGCCGUUCCGGACGAACCCACGGUGUUUCCCGACCGACUCGCUCGACGGUAUACAUAUGGCGCGGGGCCGCUAUUCAGUUAGCGUCCGAAACGUGGCAAGCUCCCUCGUGCGGUUGGUGAUCGGACCUAGUGCCGGUCCCGACCCCGAGAGGUUGUUGGCUGCGUCCCUCUAGGACAGACUCCGUUGAAACGCCGAUCAGCGACGCUAUAGCUUUGGGUAC